GUUGAAAGUUGGACAUGCGCAGUAGCGAACACAAAGAAGAACAGCAGUACGGCUCUCUGGAGGGAACGUUACAGCCGAGCGCGAGCUAACGCUACCUGAGCUAACUUGCUAGCUAAAACCGUUAAAAACAUGGACGAACUUAAUGACGUCACGGUGUCGGCUUUAAGAGCUGCAAACAUGAGUGAAGAAAUGAUCAGGACUCACGAAGACCUGAGGGACCAGAGGAAGUGAAGAGAGCUCAGAUACAGACUGAGCUAAAACAUGAAGCCUCAGUGUAACUGACUAACUGCACUGGAUUCCUGCAUCUCAGAGCUAAAAAGACAAGUUCUUUCUCAUGCAGAGAAAAUAAAAUGUUUGUUUAAUGCCAGACUUGUUUUCAUUUAAGUAGGUGGUUGUUAAAUCUAGAACAGUGUCAUUAUUGUAGAGCUGAUAGUAAAUUAAAUGCACAUGAACUGAGAUGAAUUAUUAUUAUUACACUUCUAAUAAAUGUC
Long non-coding RNA from Mugil cephalus (flathead mullet), 491 nucleotides. RefSeq lists it as uncharacterized. The record is from RefSeq and is a predicted model, not a curated record. Lineage: Eukaryota; Metazoa; Chordata; Actinopteri; Mugiliformes; Mugilidae. The transcript is spliced from 3 exons.